Molecule: ribosomal RNA, 527 nt
Filed under: uncultured bacterium
Lineage: Bacteria
Description: bacterial SSU rRNA
Rfam family: Bacterial small subunit ribosomal RNA
Source: RNAcentral
AGAGUUUGAUCCUGGCUCAGAUUGAACGCUGGCGGCAGGCCUAACACAUGCAAGUCGAACGGUAACAGGAAGAAGCUUGCUUCUUUGCUGACGAGUGGCGGACGGGUGAGUAAUGUCUGGGAAACUGCCUGAUGGAGGGGGAUAACUACUGGAAACGGUAGCUAAUACCGCAUAACGUCGCAAGACCAAAGAGGGGGACCUUCGGGCCUCUUGCCAUCGGAUGUGCCCAGAUGGGAUUAGCUAGUAGGUGGGGUAACGGCUCACCUAGGCGACGAUCCCUAGCUGGUCUGAGAGGAUGACCAGCCACACUGGAACUGAGACACGGUCCAGACUCCUACGGGAGGCAGCAGUGGGGAAUAUUGCACAAUGGGCGCAAGCCUGAUGCAGCCAUGCCGCGUGUAUGAAGAAGGCCUUCGGAUUGUAAAGUACUUUCAGCGGGGAGGAAGGGAGUAAAGUUAAUACCUUUGCUCAUUGACGUUACCCGCAGAAGAAGCACCGGCUAACUCCGUGCCAGCAGCCGCGGUAAU